This 98-nucleotide non-coding RNA is filed under the name uncultured Catenovulum sp. RNAcentral describes it as "Ribosomal S15 leader". It matches the Rfam family "Ribosomal S15 leader", at positions 7 to 106 of the family's 117-position model. Rfam says of the family: The E. coli Ribosomal S15 gene 5' UTR can form two alternative structures. The record is from RNAcentral. Lineage: Bacteria; Pseudomonadati; Pseudomonadota; Gammaproteobacteria; Alteromonadales; Alteromonadaceae.
GUUUGCUGGAUUAGUGAUCGGCAAACCCUAAUUAUUUGGAGUAUAUUAUGUCACUAACUGCUGCAGAAAAAGCUGCAAUCGUAGCUGAUUACGCAACU